UGCCUCUGCAGCAAAGUAUUUUCUUGGCUUUCCUGUGAUCAAACAAUGUAGGAAGACAAUGCAACAAAUGGGAAGAAAUACGAAGCUUCUUGAUUGAUGAAUCAAUCAUUAAAUAUGCAGUUCUCUCAAGACAACCGUAUCUGCGACCGUUUUGGAAGAGACACUCUAUGGUUCAGUUACAAUUCGCCAACUUUCAUUGGGACAACUUGUAUCUAA
Molecule: long non-coding RNA, 216 nt
Filed under: Medicago truncatula (barrel medic)
Lineage: Eukaryota; Viridiplantae; Streptophyta; Magnoliopsida; Fabales; Fabaceae
Description: lncRNA gene14125
Source: RNAcentral